This 72-nucleotide small RNA is filed under the name Streptococcus salivarius SK126. Lineage: Bacteria; Bacillati; Bacillota; Bacilli; Lactobacillales; Streptococcaceae. The record is from RNAcentral.
UUUAAAGUAUAAAAAACUGUACCUGAUGAACAGAUACAGUUUUUUUACUUAUUUUUUAAAGCUAUUUUUAAG